CUGAAGGCUUGCCAUCUGUUUCUGCAGACUGAUUAAGUAUCACUGAAACCAAAGGAGCAGGCUGCGUAGGUGGAUCUCGUGGCAAACUUUGCCUGUCCUGCAAAUGCAGUAGAUGAUCCAGAGACAAAGCCUGAGGUCUGCACUGCAAACAUGCCAGAGUCCUCCCUGGUCAAGGACGGUCGCAGCAGCUCUGUUGAAUAUGGAGCAUCCCCCUUGAGACAGUUUAGCCAAUCAUCACUGCUGCUGCACAGAAACUCCUACAUGCUCAGUACCUUCUGCACAGAGCACAAUGUGCAACAAUGUCUGUCACACAUCAAUCAAGAAAUAUCUUCUCUUGGCCUCCCACCAGUUUGGACAGAGUCGGGCGACAGCUCAGAGCUGAAUAUUGUGGCUGUGCUAAAUUGCAUGUAUGACCUGAUUCAGCUGCAGCGCCAGGGCCUCAGAACCAAGGGUGUAGAUUUGGCAUGGACGGAAGGGACAUGUCCCCACCAAUAUCCAGUGAUUAUUGAAUUGUCCCCACCAAUAAUUUGAUCUCUUCGAGUAAAGAAAAAAAAAACAAUAGAAAGAAGAAAAAAAAACGAUCUGUCAACAUCUCAUUCACCUAGCGGUGCAGAAAGAGUUACGCUCUCUACUGGAGUCCUACCUCAUGUGACAAAUAUGGCCAAUGUGAUUGGCUGUGCCUUUCAGGGAGCUCUGUUUCGUUUUAGCAGCGGCAAGCCUGCGCUGCGAGUAUCCGCAAGGAGGAGAGGAGGAUGGCAGCAAAAAGGAAGAACCUGGAUAUAAGAAAGUAUUUUUCAAAGAAACCUGUAAGUCACUUAAAGUCAAGUUCACUCAUAAAAUGUGUCCGUCAUAAUAACGUUACAGGCUAUGCUAGGCUUUGGCCCACAUCAGUCUAAAAUUGUAUGUAACCAUGAAUAACGUGUUUUGGAAACUAACUGCACAUCAGGCAGCACUAUUAGUUAUCAAAGUCUCCUAGCAUUUCUAAUUUUGAUUGAAACUGUCAGAGAAAACGGCAGCCUUGAGCAAGCCAGGAUAUUAGUUUACAGAGGCUGUUAAAAUUAUAUGUCUAACAUUAAAAUGUUGGUGACACAAUAAUUUCAUCCUAACGGCACUGACAUAUUCAUAGGGUUAGUUUUUGAGACAAAAUAUCAUGAGGUAGUUGUGAUUUUGCAAAUAUUCCACCUUGUAGUGCAGUUUGCACAAAUUGUUUUAAAAAUGCAUUCACCCUACAAACAUUACUGAUGAGUCAAGAUCUGCACAAAUUGACAGAAACACUGAAGCAGCUACACAUUUUAUUCUUAUUGUCAUGUAUGUCCUAUUUGUCAGGUGACAGAAGAACCAACACAAAGCUCAGAGAGCAAUGGUGAUACAAGAUCACAGGUGAAAUUGGAUGAUGACUUGGUGGUUCAUGACUGUAUUUGAAGUUAUUUUUAUUUUUGUAUGAUACCUGAUUUAUAUGGAAUAUGGCUGAAGUAAAAUAAAGUCUAAAAUACUUAGUCAGUCAUUUAUUUAAUAGUAGUUUAACAUGAUAUAAUUCACAUAUAAAACUAUGAAUUGUAAUUUUAAAUGGUUUAAAAGCAUGUAGAAAAGCAUAUGUAGGCAAGUAUAUUUCUCCAUUUUUUUUUUAAUCAAGAAGCAAAGAAAAAAAGGAAAAAAAAAAAGAAACGGGGCAGGGUUCGGUGGUUGAAUCAUCCGUCCCCACCAAUACCAAAACCAAAUCUACGCCCUUGCUCAGAACCCUUGAAAGCAUGGAAGUGGAGCAGCUUAAAUCUAGCAGCAAUAUCGAUCACCUGCAGCUCACCAUCACUCGUCUGAAGGAGCAGCUCGAACUCUCUAAAAGAGAAAACACGGGACUUCUUGAGAGAGAACGGCAGCUACAGCUGAAAGCAAAAAGUUUGCAGAGCUGUCUGAAGAAUGAAAAAGAAGAGGUUCAAAAGCUUCAGAACAUUAUUGCAAGCCGGGCCAGCCAGUACAAUCAUGAGAUGAAAAGGAAGGAAAGAGAAUUUAAUAAACUGAAGGAACGACUGAAUCAGCUUGACAAAAAGGAGAAGAAACAGGCCAUUGAUGUAUUAAACAACAUUGGGAGAGCUGAUGGGAAGAGAAGCCUUUGGAAAGCUGAAAAGACAGAAGCAAAUGGCGAGGCACAACCUUUACUCCGAAUGCCAAAAUUCUCUGUUUCCAGUUUGUGUUGAACCUUCCACAGUUUGACUAGCACUCGGUGAGUAGUUGGCAAGUGUUUGCAGACACCAUGACAGCUACAGUAACCGCGGCUAUCGUCUAGUUGCCAAAUUAAUCAUAAGGUGGUCUUUGGUGUAUCACUGCAUACCUCUUUGUGAUUAUGUUCACCUAUUCGCCAGCAACUGAUCGCCUAGAGACACCUGUGUGACUAAGAUGACUGGAGAGUGUAAAGUUGGCGUUAGAGAAAUGCCCCCCUCUGCUCAGUCUUCUUUGUUGCUUGCAUAAAAUGUUACUAAGGGUGGCCAGUGGCACUCUGAGAACCCUAGAUAUAUAGGUGAACCUUUUUUGGAUCAGACAAACUCCUCUAUGUUCAGGGUUCGUACGCUUUUUUCAGGGUCAAAUUCAAGCACUUUUUAAGCUUUUCCAGCCCCCCACCCGCCCGUCAAAAAAAAAAGAAUGCAUGUUUCAAUUUGCAUCACCUCAGUACAAUUUAUCUAAAUUCAGACAAAAUUUUAAAUACAAGUAGAAAGUGAUAUUUUUGACAGUAAAAACCACAAGCAUGAGAGAGAGGAUAUUAGGCCCCUUAUGUCAAAUUAUUCAUGAGCUUUUUGAGUGAUAGGUUCUAAUGAAUUAUUCAUGAGCUCCGGAAGUAAUAACGGAAGUAAUAACGGAAGUAAUUAAAAAUAUGAUAUUCAUAAAAAUAUGAUAUUCAUAAAAAAUAUGAUUUUCAUAAAAAUUAUGAUAUUCAUAAAAAUAUGCUAGUUCAUAGCUCAUUGCUUUUUCUUCCCCCAAAACCUACUAAUUGAUUAUUUUUUUAUAUCAAAUAGCAUUCUUUUAUUUUUAAGCUAUUAAAAAAGUUUUUUACUUUUUUUAUGCUUAAAAAACGCCAUCUACUGGUGGGUCAGCGCAUGAGCGCCCAGGGCGCGCACCCGCGGGAGCGCACCUCUCUCUCUGCAUCAGGCCUGUGUGUUUCUGGGACCGUGCCUUUUGUGUGUGUGAAAACAUGUUAAACCAGUAUAAAUGUGCUUAGUUAAACUUGUGCUUUUGUAACGUUCAGUAUGGCCAGACAUACAGGGUGCAUGCCUUUGGGGAACACUUUAUUUAAUUUUAUAUGCAUUUGUUUAAUCCGAACAAGGAGAUUUAAAAUCAAACUCAGAAUCGCAAAAAGAAAAAAGUCUCGCGAUCUCCCCGAGCAUAAACGCACCGCUGCUCCCAACAUAAAAAACUUGCUGAAAAAACUCUUUUUCUCCAAAAAACGCACCUGAAAACCCCAUAGAAUUACUCGAUAAAACUCUCUCCCCGCUCCCAAACCCCGAUCCUUAGGAAAUAAGCAGGGAGAAACUCCUGAAAAAAUCCUCCGUAUUUCUAUCCAAAAAACCCCUAGAAUAACUUGUAGCGACCCCCUCGUAUACCCUAACCCUUAUAUUCGAUAACUGGGAAAAAUCCUGAAAAAACCUUUACUCUUUUUUCUUCAAAAAACCAGCCCUCUCACUAAAAAUCCGCGCAGAGUCUAAGUCCUCCUUUCGCUCUUACUCGGCCCGCAACCGCAGCCAGAGCACAGUUUUUUCCUACUUGUUCGUUCCCUGGCUCAGAUAGCAAUGCUCCUACUCCUAGUUUCAAAAUUUGCGCCGGAGACCAACUCCGCCUCCUCAGGUAAACCUUACUGCCCCGCUGCCAAUCACAUAACAAAGGGGCGGCUCUCAUUCGCACCCUGGCUAGCCAAUAGCGCUCGGCUUGGAUUUACCUGUUCAGCAAUAGGUUAACUUGCUCGCUCUCAUUCGCACCCUGGCUAGCCAAUAGCGCUCGGCUUGGAUUUACCUGUUCAGCGAUAGGUUAACUUGCUCGCUCUCAUUCGCACCCUGGCUAGCCAAUAGCGCUCGGCUUGGAUUUUUAUGAUCUCCCGCAGAGGUUAAGACUUGCUUCGGUCUCUCACAAGCCAACUGACUUCGGUCGCGUGGACAACUACCCCCGUCUCCAGACCCUUCAACAAUUGGCGACACUCAGACCGAAUUCACAAUAUUACCCCCGUCUCCAGACCCUUCAACAAUUGGCGUCACUUUUACCUGUCUGUGCAUAUCAAUCGAUUCUGAAAUUAGCCUGGUCGACUCUUCUCUUUUCGAUUCUCUGGAUCAAAUCGACAUAUCGGAUUUGGACAACUAUGUUUUCUCGAGAGAUGUAAGUGAUUCACCACCGGUUUUAGAGCGAGUUACAGGCAAGAACAUCCGUCUCUCGACCCGCGAGAGGCAGGCCCUGCUUUCUGAUAGAGCUCGCCCAGCUUCAUCCACCCUCGCCGGCGCUCCAGCUCGUCCGGGAAAAAACCUCCAUUUGCUCUCCGCCAACCCUACCCGGGCCCCCGUAGGAGGUUCACAUCCCCCGCGCUCCGUGGGGAAAAACCUCCAUCUUACCGCCCGCCAGAGGCAAGAACUGUUUGCCGCACACGCCCCCACUCCCCCGGCUGCUGCAUCAUCUCCUACAUCGGGACAUCCACAGCCCCAGUCUCUGAGAUCCAAUCGAGGCCCUCUCACAAACAGGAACAGGAGGACCGUUAGGAGGACCCGCAGGCCUGCCAGCACAAGGAGGACAAGGCAAAUACGUGUACGGCGAGACAGACUUGCUUCCGUUGCUCUCCGAGCUGUAUCUCUGUUCGCUGAAUUAGUGCAACUCAUCUUAUAAUAAGGUUUUAUUUAUUUUAAUUGUUUUUAUUUUUAUUUAUUUUUAUUUUUUUAUUUUAAAAAAAUAUAUUCUUUGUUAAACAAUAAAAAAAUGAACAACCAGGAACAAGAUAUUCCAGGGUCUGGAAUAUCUUGUUCUAAAGCAAGAAAUGGGUCAUUUCUUGCUUUAGAAAUAGAGUUAGCCCGGUUAAAUGAAAACGCCCAUCAUUCACAGAAUACACCUCCGCAGAAUCAUGAACAACCUGAUGUGAGCGAUAAUAAUAACGAUCCUCUAGAACUGAUUGAUUUAGCUCUUGCACAACUAGCCCAUAGUGAAAGUGCCCCUCAGAAUAACACUGAGAAUUUAGGAGUUGACCAUGUUGAGGCUCAUUCUCAGCAAAACAUUGCCUCCUCUGACCCUUUCGCAGCUCUUAAUAGUGCUUUAGAAGCCUUAGCACAAAUACACCAUGAGGUUCAAAUACCUCCAGAAUUAUUGAGUCAAAUAAACAGGCUAAAUGAAAAUAAUUUUAACGAUAGCCAGCAUUCGAUCUGUUCUAACCCAGACGGGGGGUCUGUUAACCGCAACCCACCCCCAUCGUUGUUAAGCGGGUUCAAUGAGUCUAAUCAACAACAAUCGUCCGAGAUUGUCUCUGUUAACCCCGUAAACAAUGCGCCCGAUCAUCCCUUUCAACAAGGGGGUAAUCCAGAGCAGGGGUGUUCCAGCAAUUCAGCACAGCCGCAUAUAAUUGUGAGAAAUAAAUUUAAUAACGUUGAAAUUAGAGAAAUUUUGAAUUUCCCUCCUCCAAAUGAUUUACCUGAUUAUGCACACUAUUAUCAAGGCGUAAUGGCCAGUGCCCGCCAAAUAGCAGACAGGAUUUUCUCGCAUUCACGUCCAGGGGAUCUUAUACAAUUAGAGUUGAUAGGCCAAGAGCUACAAAAUAAUGUUUCAGUUAUUUUAAGGGAUAGUCGUGAUUUGAGUGAAUUUGAAAAUUUAUUCCUCAGAGCCGUACAAUCAAAUUGGUCAGUAAUGUGCAGCGCUUCGCUGGAGCUUGUUGCUCAGAUUGUCACACCCCCAACCGGUAGUGGAAAGAGACAUCUUAGCCAGAUACUCAACAAUGAAAUUGUUAAAAAGAAGAGGCGUUUUUUAUAUGUGGUUCAUAACCCGUUCAACAGGUUAUGUUUUUCAAUAAGUCUUGCCCACCUGCUGCACCCUGAUUUUAACGAUCAACAGGCGGAGGCUUUCGGUAGAGAAAUUCAACAAAAAGCUGGUCUAAAUGAUCAAACUCCUGUCGGUUUUAAUCAAAUAAUUACAUUUGAAAGGUUACUCGGAUGUAAAAUUAUAGUAUUUUACCGUAACGAAAACGAUCGUAGCCUUUGUAAAUUUCAAACUAGUACGCCAAAUACACAAAAAACCCUUUGUUUAUUUUUAUUUGAGAAUCAUUACUAUGCUAUCAAAAAUUUAAAAGGAUUUGUGGGUACAGAUUAUGUAUGUAAUCAUUGUUAUAUCGGGUACAACCAUGUCUUAUCACACUUCUGUCCUGCUCGAUGCUCGGUCUGUAUGCAGCCUGAGUGUAGCGAUCACUCCAUCUCUCCUGUUGUAUGUAGCGAAUGUAACCGCACCUGUCGCUCUGCCUAUUGUUUCGAGAGCCAUAAAAAAAUCGUGCAGAGGCGUGAAAGACUCGCAAGCAACUGCCAGCUCUAUAAAAAAUGUGCCAUGUGUUCGAGACUUUAUUAUUUAUCAGCAUCAGAAAAACCCCACAAAUGUCAAAACAAGAAAUGUCCAAUCUGUAGCCAGGAAAUCUCUACUGAUCAGCAAACGCAUCAGUGUUACAUGCAGGUUUUAGAACGCGAGACAAAACAUAACAAUAAGUUGAUUUUUUAUGAUUUCGAAACGUUCAUAAACGAGCACGGUGAGCACACCCCUUUUCUGGUUUGUACAAAAACAUCCGAUGGCAAAAUCUGGACUUGUAUUGGUGAGAACUGCGCGGAAAAGUUUCUCGCUCAUUUUAGACGCCCACUCUUUAAGGGCUGUAUUUUUAUCGCUCAUAAUGCAAAAGCUUUCGAUGGGUACCUUAUUUUAAGCCGAAUGGCUAAACAAGGGCUGAAACCUCAUUUAAUCAUGCAGGGCUCCAAGGUUAUCAGCUUUACAGACCCAGGCUUUAAUCAACGAUACAUGGAUUCCAGCUGCUUUCUCCCCAUGCCCCUGUCAGGUAUUCCAAAAGCAAUGGGGUUUUCAGACAGCGUAAAGGGUUUCUUUCCACACUCUUUCAGUUCCAGAGAAACUCUAAAAUAUAUAGGCCCCUAUCCUCCACCCUCUGCUUACAGCCUAGAGAGAAUGACAACAAAAGGCAGGCAUGAUUUUUACAGAUGGUAUGAUUCAGUCAGCUCUGGCACGUUUAAUUUCAUGAAGGAGGCAGUGUCGUACUGUGAGAACGAUGUUGAAAUUCUAGCUCGGGGGUGUACGUUGUUUAGAAACGGUUUUAUUGAAGAGACAGGAGUAGAUCCUUUCAGCCGCAACACGCUUGCAAGUGCCUGCCUCAAAACUUUUUUAACAAACUUUAUGCCAGCCAAUUCUUUAGCAAUACCAUGUCCUCUAAAUUACCGUAAUCAGGUCAAGUCAUUUUCCUCUGCUUCAAUUCAAUUGCUAGAAUAUCUCUCGUACACACGAGGUGUUUUUAUCAGACAUGCGCUAAAUCAAGGAGAAAAAAAGCUCGGUGCUUAUUAUGUAGACGGAUAUUCCGAAAUUAACAGUAAACCCUAUGUAUAUGAAUUCUUGGGUUGUUACUUUCACGGGUGUGUUAAGUGUUUUUCAAAUCAGUCCGACAUUAAUCCCUUGUUAGACCUCACUUUUGCAGAGCUAAACAGCAGCACUGAAGAAAGACUCACUAGAUUGAGAACUGAGUAUAAUGUAUCUCUUGUUACAAUCUGGGAGCAUGAGUGGAGCGAGUUAAAGCGUAUUGAUCAGAGUGUAAUCAGUUUUCUCAAAAAUUAUGAACCGCCAGACCCUUUGAACCCCCGCCACGCCCUCUUCGGAGGGCGUACAAGUCCUGCACAGCUGCGCUGCAGUGCAGGCCCUGGGGAGAGAAUCAAUUAUGUGGAUGUUACCUCACUGUAUCCGUUUGUAAAUAGCACCUGCAGUUACCCGUUAGGACAUCCUCAAAUAAUCUUUAGAAAUUUUCAGCACCCUAAAAACUACUUUGGCUUUAUCAAAGCGGUUGUAUACCCACCCAGAGCAUUGUAUUUUCCCGUUUUACCCUAUAAAACAAACUCAGGCAAGCUUCUCUUUACCCUCUGUCGCACUUGUGCUGAAAUGAACAACCAGGAGGGGGCCUGUAACCAUAGCAACGAGGAGAGAGCACUCAGAGGGGUGUGGACCACUGUAGAAUUUAACCUUGCGUUAGAAAAGGGCUAUCGAAUAAGUAGAAUCACCGAGGUAUGGCACUUUGAGAAACAGAGUAACACAAUAUUCACAGACUAUGUACAUCAUUUCCUGCGCAAAAAACAGGAAGCUUCAGGUUACCCAUCAGAUGUUGUAACUGAGGCGGAAAAACAGCUUUACAUUAAAGACUACCAGGCUAAGCAAGGCAUCACUUUAGACCCUGAAAACAUAAAACUAAACCCCGCUAAAAGACAAAUGGCCAAACUGUGUUUAAACUCUUUUUGGGGAAAAUUUGGCCAGAGAAAUAAUCUCACACAGAGCAAGCUCGUGAGUGACCCUGAGGAGUUCUUUAAUCUGAUGUUCUCCCAAAAAUACAAAGUCUCAUAUUUCUCUUUUGUCAGCGAUCAUGUAGCGCUUAUUCAAUGGUGUUAUGGCGAUCUCUCUACCCCAUUGCCAAACUCCACAGAUAACAUCUUCAUUGCGGCCUUCACUACAUCAUAUGGGCGUAUGAAACUCUACAGUUAUUUGGAUCAGUUGCAGGAGAGAGCUAUUUACUACGAUACUGACAGUGUUGUUUAUCUCACCAAGCAAAAUCAAUCUGAGCUAGAAUUAGGUAGAUAUUUGGGCGACCUCACUAAUGAACUAGAGCAGGAUGAUUUCAUUACAGAGUUUGUUGCAGCUGGACCUAAAAGCUAUGGCUAUAUGACCAAAAAAGGUAAAGUUGUCUUGAAAGCAAAAUGGAUCACACAAACACACGAUGUCUGCGAAAGGGUCAAUUUUGAAUCUGUAAAAAACCUGGUUGAUAAUUACAUUGAUAACUGUGAAGGAGGGUCUAUACUUGAGGCACCCCAGCACACUAUCCUUCGUAAUAAAGCGGGGUUUGCACUGAAAAAUUCAUCAUUCCCCAAAAAAUUCCGGGUUGUUUAUGACAAGCGGAGAUUGCUGCCAGGAGGUCACACUUUACCCUUUGGUUAUUGAUUAUUCUUUCUUUUUCUUUUUUUUUUUUUUUCUUUUUGAUUUUGUUUUUAAAAAUGUUUCAACCUGCUUUAAUCGAGUUUGAUCCCAGACUUCAUGUUCCAUUUUCCUGUAUGGUUGUGGGGCCAAGUGGCUCGGGAAAAACAUUUUUUGUGAAAUCUGUAUUGGAAAACUGUGUACAUGUUUUGAACAAGCUUAUUGAUAACAUUGUGUGGGUUUAUACAUCCUUUCAGCCUCUGUAUUCUGAGCUUCAAGAGAAAAAUAA
Pelmatolapia mariae (spotted tilapia) is the source of this 9448-nucleotide RNA transcript. It is a transcript of the gene named afadin- and alpha-actinin-binding protein-like, with no coding region annotated. NCBI's taxonomy places the organism in Eukaryota, Metazoa, Chordata, Actinopteri, Cichliformes, Cichlidae. The record is from RefSeq and is a predicted model, not a curated record. The transcript has 11 exons.